Molecule: long non-coding RNA, 1780 nt
Organism: Sphaeramia orbicularis (orbiculate cardinalfish)
Lineage: Eukaryota; Metazoa; Chordata; Actinopteri; Kurtiformes; Apogonidae
Exons: 2
Source: RefSeq, a predicted model, not a curated record
GCAGUUUGGACCUGGAGUCGCGCGGAAGCACAAUAACAAACAUGGAUGACCUCCUCGUACCGAUGCAAGUGCUGCUUUUGUCCUUACAAGCCUACAUUGCAAUCCAGAGGCGAAAAUACAAAUAUUGCUGGCUACCCGUCGUAUUCAUGGUCGGAGCGAACGGCGACUACGUUUAAGGAGAGAGAUGGUCCUACGGCUGAUUACGAGACAGAGAUCGCAUCUUGCCAGGAGACAUCCACUGAAAAAGAACCGGUGCUAAGGCAGACACUGGCUCCAAACCAGCCCUGGAACCUGUUUGGUGGAAAAGGGGUAUUAAUUGGCUUCGUUUUGGCCGGAGCUGCAGCUGGAGCUACUUCUGCAAUACUUUAUUGUCUGAUGAGACUGAAGCAGAGCUCAAAGCACCGGGAGGCCCUAAACAUACCAUGAGAACCAUGAAGACUCAACCCGCCCGCGCGUCAUCAGUCCUGUCUGAAUGAUAUGAUACUUGUUUUUUCUCUUCACCGAUAAAAGCCUUUAAAACACAUGAAGGAGACGUCCUGGAAGCUGAUAGUGGAUGAAUGGGACUUUUAUCUUUUUGUUAUGGAGGUUAUUUUAACCUGUAAUGAGCUUUUAUAUCAUUUUAAGAGCCUCCAAACUUCGCAUAUCCACCGUUGUUGUGAGCAGAGACGGACGCUUUUCCCCAUUCAUUUCUUCUAAAAAUGGUCUUAAAAUGUGCCGGAGCUCAAUUAAAACAAGUUUCCCUGUUAGCAUACAUGUUUAUUUUAACAGUCAACACGGAAAUGGCCAUGUCUUGAUGAUAGGAAUGGAUUAAACAGAGGUUAUUUGAGUGGCAGCAAAUACAACGAAAGGCAGAAGCUUCAUCAGUACUUCCGGUCAGAGCUCCAGACUGAUCAGUUUUUUGUCUUAUUUCUGUGCAAAAACGUUAAUUAUCCGUUUAUUUAGGUCAAAUGUAGACAGUGCCUUUUCAUAGCCUUGAAGUUUUGUUGAACUCAGCUCAUUAAUGUGAACAGACUGGCUACAGGCUUGAAUUAAAUGUGAUGACAAAAUAAGGAAAUGGAUGUAGCACUUUGUGUCACCUCCAUUUGCAGUACAUUUUGGAAUUUAGAAAUAAUUUUUAGACUAUUUACAUAAUCUGACAAAAUGGUAUUUUAUGGUAUGGUGUUUUUCCAAGUCGUAUUUUCACUUAUGUAAAUGAUCUAGUCAUUGCGUGGAAAAUCCAGGUUAAAUUUCCAAAUAUAAUUGUUGCAUCCACUUCUCUGUGUGAUAAUAAACUAUAUUAGGUACAUAAAACUGCACCUUUCCCCCAGUAGUUGAUGUUCAUUUUUUCUGAGUCCAGCGGUUAUGUACCUCAUAUUAGCUGGAUCAAGGAUGAAGACAUUCUACAUUCAUGAGUAAAAAAGGUUCAUUUUUAAUAAAGACCUUGUAUUUGAGAGAAUAAAGCAUUUUUACUACAUCAGGUGGUCUGAGCAUAAUUGUGAGCCCCUAUCCCAACAUCAGCCUUUUGGACACUGUUUAUGUCCUUAUCAAAAUAUUUAUUUCAUGUUCAGAGGUGAUGAACAUGAAGAAAACUAUUCAUUCCAAAGGAAAGUUGUACACCACUGCGUGAUGUUGAAAUUUCACAAAAUCUGCAGUUGUAUAGUAAUGAAAAGUAAGAAUACCCCAUUGUCACACUCCACAGAAUAUACAAAUUCAUUUUAGACCUUAUGCUGCACUUUAUUAAUAUUGUGGUACUAAAUUAAUGUCAUUUAAGUAAAAAAUAACACUUUGAAGAAGCUCCUGA